AGUAGCGAAGUUCCUGAUGUCACACUGCCAAGAAAAGCUUCUAGUGAGAAAGUAACUGCCCGUACCGCAAGCCGACACAGGUAGUUGAGGAGAGAAUCCUAAGGUGUGCGAGAGAACUCUCGUUAAGGAACUCGGCAAAAUGACCCCGUAACUUCGGGAGAAGGGGUGCUGACCGCAAGGUCAGCCGCAGUGAAUAGGCCCAAGCGACUGUUUAUCAAAAACACGGGUCUCUGCAAAAUCGAAAGAUGACGUAUAGGGGCUGACGCCUGCCCGGUGCUGGAAGGUUAAGAGGAGAGGUUAGCGCAAGCGAAGCUUUGAAUUGAAGCCCCAGUAAACGGCGGCCGUAACAAUAACGGUCCUAAGGUAGCGAAAUUCCUUGUCGGGUAAGUUCCGACCCGCACGAAAGGCGUAACGAUUUGGGCACUGUCUCAACGAGAGACUCGGUGAAAUUAUAGUACCAGUGAAGAUGCUGGUUACCCGCGACAGGACGGAAAGACCCCAUGGAGCUUUACUGCAGUUUGAUAUUGCGUGUUAGUAUCACAUGUACAGGAUAGGUAGGAGCCGAAGAUACCGGGACGCCAGUCUCGGAGGAGGCAACGGUGGGAUACUACCCUUGUGAUAUGACCACUCUAACCCGCUGCUCUUAGCGAGCAGGGAGACAGUGUCAGACGGGCAGUUUGACUGGGGCGGUCGCCUCCAAAAAUGUAACGGAGGCGCCCAAAGGUUCCCUCAGAAUGGUUGGAAAUCAUUCGUAGAGUGUAAAGGCAGAAGGGAGCUUGACUGCGAGACCUACAAGUCGAGCAGGGACGAAAGUCGGGCUUAGUGAUCCGGUGGUUCCGCAUGGAAGGGCCAUCGCUCAACGGAUAAAAGCUACCCUGGGGAUAACAGGCUUAUCUCCCCCAAGAGUUCACAUCGACGGGGAGGUUUGGCACCUCGAUGUCGGCUCAUCGCAUCCUGGGGCUGUAGUCGGUCCCAAGGGUUGGGCUGUUCGCCCAUUAAAGCGGUACGCGAGCUGGGUUCAGAACGUCGUGAGACAGUUCGGUCCCUAUCCGUCGCGGGCGUUGGAAAUUUGAGAGGAGCUGUCCUUAGUACGAGAGGACCGGGAUGGACACACCGCUGGUGUACCAGUUGUUCUGCCAAGAGCAUCGCUGGGUAGCUAUGUGUGGACGGGAUAAACGCUGAAAGCAUCUAAGCGUGAAGCCCCCCUCAAGAUGAGAUUUCCCAUCACUUUAAGUGAGUAAGACCCCUGAGAGAUGAUCAGGUAGAUAGGUUGGGAGUGGAAGUACAGCGAUGUAUGGAGCGGACCAAUACUAAUCGGUCGAGGACUUAACC
Molecule: ribosomal RNA, 1332 nt
Filed under: metagenome
Description: bacterial LSU rRNA
Rfam family: Bacterial large subunit ribosomal RNA
Source: RNAcentral